CUUANGUGGGGAAUAACGCAUCGAAAGUUGCGCUAAUACCGCAUAUACUCUGAGGAGGAAAGUGGGGGCUCGCAAGACCUCAUGCUUCUGGAGCGGCCGAUAUCUGAUUAGCUAGUUGGUGAGGUAAAGGCUCACCAAGGCAUCGAUCAGUAGCUGGUCUGAGAGGACGACCAGCCACACUGGAACUGAGACACGGUCCAGACUCCUACGGGAGGCAGCAGUGGGGAAUUUUGGACAAUGGGGGCAACCCUGAUCCAGCAAUGCCGCGUGAGUGAAGAAGGCCUUCGGGUUGUAAAGCUCUUUUGUCAGGGAAGAAACGGUAAUCUCNUAAUAUAGAUUGNUAAUGACGGUACCUGAANGAAUAAGCACCGGCUAACUACGUGCCAGCAGCCGCGGGUAAUACGUAGGGGUGCAAGCGUUAAUCGGAAUUACUGGGCGUAAAGCGGUGCGCAGGCGGUUAUGCAAGUCAGAUGUGAAAUCCCCGGGCUUAACCUGGGAAUGGCAUUUGAGACUGCAUGGCUAGAGUGUGUCAGAGGGGGGUAGAAUUCCACGUGUAGCAGUGAAAUGCGUAGAGAUGUGGAGGAAUACCGAUGGCGAAGGCAGCCCCCUGGGAUAACACUGACGCUCAUGCACGAAAGCGUGGGGAGCAAACAGGAUUAGAUACCCUGGUAGUCCACGCCCUAAACGAUGUCUACUAGUUGUCGGGUCUUAAUUGACUUGGUAACGCAGCUAACGCGUGAAGUAGACCGCCUGGGGAGUACGGUCGCAAGAUUAAAACUCAAAGGAAUUGACGGGGACCCGCACAAGCGGUGGAUGAUGUGGAUUAAUUCGAUGCAACGCGAAAAACCUUACCUACCCUUGACAUGGUUGGAAUCCUGGAGAGAUUCGGGAGUGCUCGCAAGAGAACCAAUACACAGGUGCUGCAUGGCUGACGUCAGCUCGUGUCGUGAGAUGUUGGGUUAAGUCCCGCAACGAGCGCAACCCUUGUCAUUAAUUGCCAUCAUUUAGUUGGGCACUUUAAUGAGACUGCCGGUGACAAACCGGAGGAANGUGGGGAUGACGUCAAGUCCUCAUGGCCCUUAUGGGUAGGGCUUCACACGUAA
RNAcentral lists this ribosomal RNA (1103 nucleotides) under uncultured bacterium. RNAcentral describes it as "bacterial SSU rRNA". It matches the Rfam family "Bacterial small subunit ribosomal RNA", at positions 131 to 1225 of the family's 1533-position model. The record is from RNAcentral.